This is a long non-coding RNA of Trichomycterus rosablanca, 799 nucleotides long. RefSeq lists it as uncharacterized. The record is from RefSeq and is a predicted model, not a curated record. NCBI's taxonomy places the organism in Eukaryota, Metazoa, Chordata, Actinopteri, Siluriformes, Trichomycteridae. The transcript is spliced from 3 exons.
UUAAUUUAUGGAUUCGUUCAUUUUCAAUAAUAACUGAUCAUCAUACUGAUCAUGGUCGAGGUGAUUUGCAACCUGUACAGCAAAAAAAGUCAAUCAGAGUACCUGGAGUAAUUCCUCACUGACAGUGACCAAGGCAAGGUUCGAACUCUGGUGCUUAGGACCCUGAACCUGUGCAGGACCCGCAAUAAUACCCAGAUGAGACUAAAAGGUUCCUGGUUGGGGGUUCAUUUAUUUAUUUAAUAGGAUUUUAACGUCUUGUUUUACACUUUGGUUACAUUCAUGACAUAAACGGUAGUUACUGGUUGCACAAGAUUCGUCAGUUCAACUUUAAUGUCAAACACAGUCGUGGACGAUUUUGCCCACGCAGCCACAAGGAGAACAUGCAAACUCCACACAGAAAGGACCCAGUCUACCCCACCUGGGGAUCGAACCCAGGACCUUCUUGCCGUGAGGUGACACUGAUACCCACUGAGCCACCGCGCUGCCAAAUGUAAAUUUGCAGAGGGAACCCAAGAAGUAAAAAUAUCAAAAGGAAAUAUUCUCUUCAGUAGCUGCUUCAAAUGUAAACAAUGGACAGGAGCUGCAGAUCUCCACUUUUGAUUAUCGUCUUCACUCCUCUUCAGACACGUGUUUCUUUUCACCUGCAUGUGGGAGUAUAGAGAUCUGAAUCACACACGGAGAGUCACACACUGAUCUUCAUUAUUCCUCGUCUUUGUGCAGUGAACUCACCACCGGCCGCCAUCUUCUCAGCCUCCUCCCUGACCACAGGAGACGUCAGGUGAAUUGAGAGAGUCAGCGG